RNAcentral lists this ribosomal RNA (537 nucleotides) under Leptopelis modestus (modest forest treefrog). RNAcentral's name for it is "partial 16S ribosomal RNA". It matches the Rfam family "Bacterial large subunit ribosomal RNA", at positions 1845 to 2597 of the family's 2925-position model. Lineage: Eukaryota; Metazoa; Chordata; Amphibia; Anura; Arthroleptidae. The record is from RNAcentral.
AUAAGAGGUCCAGCCUGCCCAGUGAUUACAAUUUAACGGCCGCGGUACCCUAACCGUGCGAAGGUAGCAUAAUCACUUGUUUCUUAAAUAGAGACUAGUAUCAACGGCAUCACGAAGACUACACUGUCUCCCCCCUAAAAUCAAUGAAACUGAUCCCCUCGUGAAGAAGCGGGAAUAUAAAUAUAAGACGAGAAGACCCCAUGGAGCUUUAAACGAACCUCAAUUGCUCCCACUCUUACCACAUAAACUGAGCACUAAUGAUGGGUAGUUUUCGGUUGGGGUGACCACGGAGUAAAACAAAACCUCCACAAUGAAUGUAAUAAAAUACUAAUAAAAGAACCACAAUUCUAAUAAUCAAAAAAUUGACAUAAAUUGACCCAAACACUUGAUCAAUGAACUAAGUUACCCUGGGGAUAACAGCGCAAUCCAUUUAAAGAGCCCCUAUCGACAAAUGGGUUUACGACCUCGAUGUUGGAUCAGGGUAUCCUAGUGGUGCAGCCGCUACUAAUGGUUCGUUUGUUCAACGAUUAAAACCCU